RNA transcript from Mangifera indica (mango), 2776 nucleotides. It is a transcript of the gene named calcineurin B-like protein 3, with no coding region annotated. Lineage: Eukaryota; Viridiplantae; Streptophyta; Magnoliopsida; Sapindales; Anacardiaceae. The record is from RefSeq and is a predicted model, not a curated record. The transcript is spliced from 5 exons.
UAACUUUCUUUGAUAUAUUUUCCAGUUCUAUAUUAAGGAAUUAAGUGAUUGUCUGACAUAAUAAGUUUUCUUUCUUUCCUGUCUUCUGCUUACUUUUGUUGAUUCUGGACCAUGAAUAAGAUAAAAAGGGCAGGAGAGUGAGUGUUGUGAAUGAAGCUUAAUUGCUACCUCUAGAGUAGACCGGCUGAGAAGCCCUUGUUCCCAUUGUCAAGUAUAUUCGUUGCUCAUGCCUACCGAAUAGAAAACCAAAUUGAAGAUUUAGUUUGAAAAUGAUUAUGCUUUCUUCUUUUUAUCCAUGGAUCCUCUACAUGUUCCUUUGGGAGUGUUGAUCAAUAAAAAUUAUAUAUUAUGAUUUUGUAGUCCUAAUUUCAACUUCUGUUGUGUUUGGAUCAACUGAUCAACUACCAUAAUGCUAUAAUCAAAUUAAGCAUGUUUUGAGAGCAUUACUGGAAGAUGAUCUCUUAUAGGGUUAGAGGAGUACUCUAUGUGUCACAAAAUAUGUAUAUAUAUGUGGAAAAUUUUGCCUAUUAAUCAGACAUUUAUUUAAUCAGUUCAAUUUCUUCCUAAACCUAAUUGUUUCUUCCCACUUGCAGUAUAAUAUUAUCAUAAUAUUUGUCCUGAUUAAUUGUUAUAUAUUUUUCUAUCUUUUCAAAAUUUUGUAAAAGGGAAAACUGUCUAUGGAGUUUAAAAAAGUUUGAUCAAAGAUGAGAUAGUCGUGCAGGUUAUCACAGUCCAUUUAAUUAUGACUGUGCUAAAAUUCCAACUCUGUUAUUUCCUUUCCCAGAGGAAUUUUUUCUUCUUUCUCUCAUUUUGAUUAAAUUAUGAAUAUAUACUUUAUUUUUCCAUCUUUUAUGGAAAUGGCUUGGUGAGAUUUAGGUUCCCCUGGAUUAUGUGAUAAUUUUUUAUGUUUGAAUUGAAUUUGAACCCCAUCUAAUUGGGUUUUCAGGUUUGCUUUGUGCUGUGAAAGACUUUUCCCCUUGCUUAUUUUUUCCUUUAGUAAAAUAAACGUUUGGAUGAUAGUAAUAGCUUUGUUUUAUCCCAUGUUUGUAAUGCAGUUAGUGUAAGUGAAAUUGAGGCUGUGUAUGAAUUGUUUAAAAAGAUCAGCAGUGCAGUAAUUGAUGAUGGGCUGAUCAACAGGGAAGAAUUUCAGUUAGCAUUGUUCAAGACAAACAAAAAGGAGAGCUUAUUUGCUGAUUGGGUUCUUUCUAUAUGUCCAAUUCAUGGAAUCUUAUUUUCAUUUUCCAUGUAUUUGACUUGCUUGAUACUAAGCACAAUGGUAUACUAUAUUUUGAAGAGUUUGCUCGUGCACUUUCAGUCUUUCACCCCAAUGCUCCUAUUGACGAUAAGAUUGAGUUUUCAUUCCAACUAUAUGAUCUUAAACACCAGGGGUUUAUUGACAGACAGGAAGUAUUUUUUCUCACUACUUGCUUCUUUAGUUUCUUGGGUUACUUAUAUUUUUCAGGCAUGUUCGAAAAGUUCUUUUGAUCACCUUUCUUUAUUAUAUAGGUAAAGCAAAUGGUUGUAGCUAUGCUUUCAGAAUCUGGAACGAAUCUUUCAGAUGAUGUUAUAGAGAGUAUUGUUGACAAGUUGCUUUUCUAGUCUGACUGAUUUGGUUUCCCUGUCAGUUGAUGUGAAUGAUAGUUAUAAAUGUCAUGGAUUCAAUCAAUUCUUUUUUUUAAUCUUUUUUAUGCUGACGGAGCUUUCUGUUAUGUGUUUUGUAAUGAGUAGUUGAAUUCAGUCAAUUUAGUUUUUCUGUGGUGCUAUGAUCCUCCAUUAUGUGAUGUUAUCAUGUUCUUGGAACUAAUUCAGAUCUUACCUAAAAUAACCCAGAAAAUUAUUUGUCCCUGGACUCAUUUGUCAAAGCCAAAUAUAAUUAUCUUUAUUCUGUUUUUUGAGUAGACUGUUAUGCAAACAAACUCUGUAGAACUAGUGUUCUUGCUACUUUACGAUAUUCCUAAUACUUAACUUUGAGAGGUGGUUAUGGAGAAUUUUAAUUUUUAUAUCAAUGUUAAUUAUAGAUUUAAUUGUAAUUGCACAAAUAGUGCUGAGUCAUAUGGCAAUCAGUGUUGAAGGAAAAGAUGUGGAAAAAUGCUCAAGAGAAGGAAGAGAGUCAAUUUAAUGAUCAUAUGGCUUCCACACAUCCUAGUCCUUGAUAGUUUUAUUUGUGGAAAAUCCGAAUGGAUGCUAUUUAGUGUUGAUCUUUGCUAGGUUGCAUAGCAACUCAUGAAUGUAAGAGCUUAUGCUGCUAUUCUGACCAACUAAUGUUGAGAAAUACCAAAGUUGUGUUGAUUUUCUGUAUAAUUAUUGUGUUAAAUCGAUGGAUUACUGAUGCACAAAUACGUAAUUGGAUAUCCAAUCAAUUUUUUUUCUCAGUAGAUGUCACCUUUUUGUUAUACUUGGACCUUUGAGGAAGCUGAUACUAAACAUGAUGGGAAGAUUGAUAAGGAAGAGUGGUGUAACCUUGUUUUGCAACAUCCAUCUCUUUUGAAGAAUCUGACUCUUCAAUAUCUCAAAGACAUCACCAGUUCAUUUCCCAGUUUUGUGUUUCACUCACAAGUUGAUGAUACCUGAGAUUCAGGCCCUUUUAUCAUAUGAAGCUAACUAGUUUUGUGCUGGGAAUGUUGUUGUUUGUUGGUGGAGAAAUGUGGGUUUUUGUGUGCAGAGGUUCACAUUUAGAGAGAUGUUAGACUUUUUGUUUACUUGAGAGAUACUAUAAAAACUGUAUGUCAGUUUGGAUAGAUUUUUUUAAUGGUUUAUUUGUCAUUCUUUUGCUUCA